This 439-nucleotide ribosomal RNA is filed under the name uncultured bacterium. RNAcentral's name for it is "partial 16S ribosomal RNA". It matches the Rfam family "Bacterial small subunit ribosomal RNA", at positions 339 to 795 of the family's 1533-position model. The record is from RNAcentral.
CUACGGGUUGCUGCAGUGAGGAAUAUUGCACAAUGGGGGAAACCCUGAUGCAGCAACGCCGCGUGGAGGAUGACGCAUUUCGGUGUGUAAACUCCUUUUAUCAGAGAAGAAAAUGACGGUAUCUGAUGAAUAAGCUCCGGCUAACUCCGUGCCAGCAGCCGCGGUAAUACGGAGGGAGCAAGCGUUAUUCGGAAUCACUGGGCGUAAAGGACGCGUAGGCGGGUUUUUAAGUCAGGUGUGAAAUCCUACAGCUCAACUGUAGAACUGCACUUGAAACUGGGAACCUAGAGUAUGGAAGGGGCAGGUGGAAUUAGUGGUGUAGGGGUAAAAUCCGUAGAUAUCACUAGGAAUACCGAAAGCGAAGGCGACCUGCUGGGACAUAACUGACGCUGAGGCGUGAAAGCGUGGGGAGCAAACAGGAUUAGAUACCCGGGUAGUC